GACACUUUGGCCGAGUGGUUAAGGCGGUGCCCUGCUAAGGCAUUAUCUUCUGGAUGCGCAGGUUCGAAUCCUGCAGGUGUCG
This 82-nucleotide transfer RNA is filed under the name Kickxella alabastrina. Its description in RNAcentral is "tRNA-Ser". It matches the Rfam family "tRNA". Rfam says of the family: Transfer RNA (tRNA) molecules are approximately 80 nucleotides in length. RNAcentral also lists the same sequence under 1 other name. Lineage: Eukaryota; Fungi; Kickxellomycota; Kickxellomycetes; Kickxellales; Kickxellaceae. The record is from RNAcentral.